UACAACUUUCAACAACGGAUCUCUUGGCUCUCGCAUCGAUGAAGAACGCAGCGAAAUGCGAUAAGUAAUGUGAAUUGCAGAAUUCAGUGAAUCAUCGAAUCUUUGAACGCACCUUGCGCCCCUUGGUAUUCCGAGGGGCAUGCCUGGUUGAGUGUCAUG
This 159-nucleotide ribosomal RNA is filed under the name Fomitiporia mediterranea. RNAcentral describes it as "5.8S ribosomal RNA". It matches the Rfam family "5.8S ribosomal RNA". Rfam says of the family: 5.8S ribosomal RNA (5.8S rRNA) is a component of the large subunit of the eukaryotic ribosome. It is transcribed by RNA polymerase I as part of the 45S precursor that also contains 18S and 28S rRNA. Lineage: Eukaryota; Fungi; Basidiomycota; Agaricomycetes; Hymenochaetales; Hymenochaetaceae. The record is from RNAcentral.